This 242-nucleotide ribosomal RNA is filed under the name Klebsiella pneumoniae. Its description in RNAcentral is "partial 23S ribosomal RNA". It matches the Rfam family "Bacterial large subunit ribosomal RNA", at positions 714 to 954 of the family's 2925-position model. The record is from RNAcentral. Lineage: Bacteria; Pseudomonadati; Pseudomonadota; Gammaproteobacteria; Enterobacterales; Enterobacteriaceae.
CCCGAAACCGGGUGAUCUAGUCAUGCCCAGAGUGAAGGUCAGGUAACACUGACUGGAGGCCCGAACCCACUCCCGUUGCAAAGGUAGGGGAUGAGGUGUGACUAGGAGUGAAAAGCUAAUCGAACCCGGAGAUAGCUGGUUCUCCUCGAAAGCUAUUUAGGUAGCGCCUCAUGUGAAUCCUCUCGGGGGUAGAGCACUGUUAUGGCUAGGGGGUCAUUGCGACUUACCAAACCAUGGCAAAC